GCUUAUGGCAGCUAUGCGCAGGAGCACUCUCGAGUGCACCGGGUUCCUCGGGCUUCCCCGGACUUCCACACCUGCGCAAAGCUGCCACCCUC
RNAcentral lists this non-coding RNA (92 nucleotides) under Pseudomonas siliginis. The record is from RNAcentral. Lineage: Bacteria; Pseudomonadati; Pseudomonadota; Gammaproteobacteria; Pseudomonadales; Pseudomonadaceae.